GUGGGGAAUCUUGCGCAAUGGGCGAAAGCCUGACGCAGCCAUGCCGCGUGAAUGAUGAAGGUCUUAGGAUUGUAAAAUUCUUUCACCGGGGACGAUAAUGACGGUACCCGGAGAAGAAGCCCCGGCUAACUUCGUGCCAGCAGCCGCGGUAAUACGAAGGGGGCUAGCGUUGCUCGGAAUUACUGGGCGUAAAGGGAGCGUAGGCGGACAUUUAAGUCAGGGGUGAAAUCCCGGGGCUCAACCUCGGAAUUGCCUUUGAUACUGGGUGUCUUGAGUAUGAGAGAGGUGUGUGGAACUCCGAGUGUAGAGGUGAAAUUCGUAGAUAUUCGGAAGAACACCAGUGGCGAAGGCGACACACUGGCUCAUUACUGACGCUGAGGCUCGAAAGCGUGGGGAGCAAACAGGAUUAGAAACCCUAGUAGUCC
Molecule: ribosomal RNA, 425 nt
Filed under: uncultured Brevundimonas sp.
Lineage: Bacteria; Pseudomonadati; Pseudomonadota; Alphaproteobacteria; Caulobacterales; Caulobacteraceae
Description: bacterial SSU rRNA
Rfam family: Bacterial small subunit ribosomal RNA
Source: RNAcentral